GACGCCGGCGAGUGGCGAACGGGUGAGUAAUGCAUCGGAACGUACCCAGUAGUGGGGGAUAACUUACCGAAAGGUAAGCUAAUACCGCAUACGCACUGAGGUGGAAAGCAGGGGACCGCAAGGCCUUGCGCUAUUGGAGCGGCCGACGUCGGAUUAGCUAGUUGGUGGGGUAAAGGCCUACCAAGGCGACGAUCCGUAGCGGGUCUGAGAGGAUGAUCCGCCACACUGGAACUGAGACACGGUCCAGACUCCUACGGGAGGCAGCAGUGGGGAAUUUUGGACAAUGGGCGCAAGCCUGAUCCAGCCAUGCCGCGUGAGUGAAGAAGGCCUUCGGGUUGUAAAGCUCUUUCGGCCGGGAAGAAAUCGUGGUGGCUAAUACCUGCCAUGGAUGACGGUACCGGACUAAGAAGCACCGGCUAACUACGUGCCAGCAGCCGCGGUAAUACGUAGGGUGCGAGCGUUAAUCGGAAUUACUGGGCGUAAAGCGUGCGCAGGCGGUUGUGUAAGACAGGCGUGAAAUCCCCGGGCUCAACCUGGGAACUGCGCUUGUGACUGCACGGCUAGAGUACGGCAGAGGGGGGUGGAAUUCCACGUGUAGCAGUGAAAUGCGUAGAGAUGUGGAGGAACACCGAUGGCGAAGGCAGCCCCCUGGGUCGAUACUGACGCUCAUGCACGAAAGCGUGGGGAGCAAACAGGAUUAGAUACCCUGGUAGUCCACGCCCUAAACGAUGUCGACUAGUUGUUGGAGGGGUAAAACCCUUUAGUAACGUAGCUAACGCGUGAAGUCGACCGCCUGGGGAG
This 801-nucleotide ribosomal RNA is filed under the name uncultured bacterium. RNAcentral describes it as "bacterial SSU rRNA". It matches the Rfam family "Bacterial small subunit ribosomal RNA", at positions 84 to 880 of the family's 1533-position model. The record is from RNAcentral.